GACGAACGCUGGCGGCGUGCUUAACACAUGCAAGUCGAACGGAAAGGCCCGGCUUUUGUGGGGUGCUCGAGUGGCGAACGGGUGAGUAACACGUGAGUAACCUGCCCUUGACUGUGUGAUAACUUCAGGGAACUGGGGCUAAUACCGGAGAUGAGCUCCUGCUGCAUGGGGGGGGUUGGAAAGUGUCGGCGGUGGGGGAUGGACUCGCGGCUUAUCAGCUUGUUGGGGGGGUAGUGGCGUACCAAGGCUUUGACGGGUAGCCGGCAUGAGAGGGUGACCGGCGACAUUGGGACUGCGAUACGGCCCAGACUGGUAUGGGAGGCAGUAGGGGAGAAUAUUGCACAACGGGCGGACGCGUGAUGUAGAAACCUCGCGUGCGGGAUGCCGGCUUUUGGGUUGUAAACCGCUUUCGCCUGUGACGAAGCGUGAGUGACGGUAAUGGGUAAAGAAGCACCGGCUAACUACGUG
RNAcentral lists this ribosomal RNA (468 nucleotides) under uncultured bacterium. RNAcentral's name for it is "partial 16S ribosomal RNA". It matches the Rfam family "Bacterial small subunit ribosomal RNA", at positions 28 to 507 of the family's 1533-position model. The record is from RNAcentral.